This 256-nucleotide ribosomal RNA is filed under the name uncultured bacterium. RNAcentral describes it as "partial 16S ribosomal RNA". It matches the Rfam family "Bacterial small subunit ribosomal RNA", at positions 524 to 776 of the family's 1533-position model. The record is from RNAcentral.
GACGGGAGGGGCUAGUGUUAUUCGGAAUGACUGGGCGUAAAGGGCACGUAGGCAGUGAAUCAGGUUGAAAGUCAAAGGCGCCAGCUCAACUGGCGGAAUGCUUUCAAAACCAAUUCACUUGAGUGGGAUAGAGGGGAGUGGAAUUUCGUGUGGUAGGGAUAAAAUCCAGAGAUAUACGAAGGAACGCCGAAGUAGCGAAGGCAGCUUUCUGGGUCUCUACUGACGCUAGGGUGCGAAAGCUUGGGGAGCAAACAGG